CCCUUAACUGAGGACUAGUAUGAACGGCUAAAUGAGGGCUCGACUGUCUCCUGCAACAAGCCAAUGAACUUGAUCUAUCAGUACAAAAGCUGAUAUAGUCCCAUAAGACGAAAAGACCCUAUGGAACUUUAAACCCUAAUACUACCAGACUAACACAACCUUGUCCUAGUAUAACUUUUAAGUUGGGGCAACUGUGGAGCAAAACAGAAACUCCACGUCCUAGCGCAUAACCCGCGAGCACCUAAGGCCACCACGCCACAGAACAAUGCUUGACCCAGUCCAACUGACUACCGAACCAAGUUACCCUAGGGAUAACAGCGCCAUCUUCCCCUAAGAGCCCAUAUCACCGGGGAGGCUUACGACCUCGAUGUUGGAUCAGGACCCCCAGGCGGUGCAGCUGCUGCCAAUGGUUCGUUUGUUCAACGAUUAAUGUCCU
This 436-nucleotide ribosomal RNA is filed under the name Lygodactylus hapei. RNAcentral's name for it is "partial large subunit ribosomal RNA". It matches the Rfam family "Bacterial large subunit ribosomal RNA", at positions 1973 to 2597 of the family's 2925-position model. The record is from RNAcentral. Lineage: Eukaryota; Metazoa; Chordata; Lepidosauria; Squamata; Gekkonidae.